UGCACUCCAGCCUGGGCGACAGAGCGAGACUCUGUCUCAAAAAAAAAAAAAAAAGCAAGAUGAAUGAGGCUUUCUGGUCCAGCGCCACCCAAGCUGGAAGCAGCCUCCAGGGGGCCCCACCCCAAGCACACGGGCAUCUCCACAACGGCUGCCUCCAGGAGGGGCAAGUGGCCAGGGCUGGGCUGUUGGGCCUUUUCCACUUGGAAUCACAUGCGUGGUCUCCAUUAAAAAAGGAACCAAUGUCCGGGAUCUGGACACGGAGGGAGGCUGUGGGAGGCUGUACAUGCACAGCAGCAGAGAAUACACGGAAACCUAAGACUGCUCUCAAAACUAGUCUAUCUUAAAACUAAUUAUUAGCCUGAAGAAACAGUUUCUCAGAAGAACCUAACAAGCUUCUCCGGACCUGUGAAGCCUUGUCUUUCGUCUAGAGAAUCCUGCCACCCAUCUCAGGUGCUCAACAUCCUCGCUGACCUUCACCUAGCAGCCCCUCACUUCCAGGCAGAAGUAAUGGAGCCAUCACGCGACACGCACCCUUUGGUCACAGAGCCACAUGCGGACGUGACACGUUCUGCAACCGGGCCUGGCCGAUAGGGAGUCCCCAACCAAGGUCAGCACCCAAUUCUCUCUCACUUCCCAAAAGCUCUGACAGAGAGUGCACACCUUUCCUUCUCCUCUUCAAACCACAAUGAUGCAGCCCAGAGGCAGCCAGCUAGGUGUGGAGCCCAGAUAAUUUGGAAAUCGAUAACCGGGAACACUACCCCCAUGUGUCACUCUUAACUCCCACUCGGUAGGGAGUGCUGCCCUAGCUGAAGUCAUCUUUAGCUCUGCAUGUCUGAGAGCAUGAACACACCCAGACAGGCUGCCAGACGGCCGUCCUCAGACACACGCAGCCCGUGACCUGGACAGGCUGCCAGACGGCCGUCCUCAGACAUACACGGCCCAUGUGAGGGGACUCUAGCCCGCUCUUCCCGAUGAAGCAGACACGACUCCAGGCUCCGUGUGAACAGAGGCUGCACCAGGAAAGGGGCUGUCACCACGGCCCCGGGGCCCUGUGCUGAGGAUUAAAGGCAGCAGCACCUGUAGAGGACCCAGCUCCUAAGUAUGUUUCUGUCCAAGCCUCCCCUAUGGGAGCCCACAUGGCCCCACCAAGUCCCAGUCACACCCGGGGUUUCCCAGUCGGGCUCCUUUUCACCCACUCAUCAGGGGAGGCAAAGUUUGCUAUAAAGCAAGAGGCAGUAAAUAGUUUAGACUUUGUGGGCUGUGGCUCUCUGUGAAGACAACACAGCCCUGCCACUGUUCAUACAAAAGCAACCACAGAUAAUGUGUAAAUAAGUGAGUGUGGCUGCGUUCCAAGAAAAUUUAAUUAAUUUAUGGACACUGAAUUUUAAAUAAUCUUUGUAUGUCAAUAAAUACUCGCUUUCUGA
Long non-coding RNA from Cercocebus atys (sooty mangabey), 1424 nucleotides. RefSeq lists it as uncharacterized. The transcript is spliced from 2 exons. Lineage: Eukaryota; Metazoa; Chordata; Mammalia; Primates; Cercopithecidae. The record is from RefSeq and is a predicted model, not a curated record.